CAGGGGCUCAGGUGAGCACUGCAGGCCGGAGAGCAGGCCCAGGCACCCGGUGCAGACAGAUGGUCUCAGGGAGAAUGUGCUCAGCGCUCAGCAUGUUCCCUCGCUCCUCAGCUCCUUGCAGAGACAGGCCAAGCCAUAGGCUUCCCUCUCCAAGGCGCCUACAGGAAGCCUCUCAUUCAGCUCCUCCCGACGCCCCCUGGAGCCCCCAUUUUCCAGGACACCCUGGCAGGAUCCAGGGCACUUGUCCUCCCAGGCUGCCAGUUACAGGUUCCGAGUACAGAGCCAAGCCGGGGAGGUGCUCAGGCCGUCCUGCCACAAAGCCCGGCAGCAGUGACACAAACAGGGGGCCUGGCACUGCCCCUCACACCUGGACUGCAGCGGCCCAGGAGGACCUUGGUGACAGAGGAAGUUGCAGCGCCCUGGUCUACAGUGCCUGUGACACGUCAAGGUGUGUAUGCAGUUCCCUCAGAAGAUUCAAUAGAAAAAACCUCCCAGCGUCCAGGUAGACCAUCUGCCCUCCUCCCGGAAGGAAAGGCUCAGACACAAACUCUAACACAAUGUUACUCCUCAUAUCUUAACACUAAGACACUCAUCGGCCCAGCAGACACGGCUCGGCUUGCAGCAGCGACAGUCUCUGUGCUCAUCACCACAGGCCGCCUGCCCCCUGCCAGGUCCAUGUCAUUGUCCGGACGGUGGACAGAGGUGGGCGAGGAGCCAGCACCACACUGCAACAUGCACAACUCCGUAGGGCACAGGGGGUCGUGGGCGGGGCAGGGCCUUGGAGCGGGAUCUCCUGUGGAUUUGGGAAGACGAGAGGCACCCUCAUGAGUUGCCGUAUCCAUACCUGCAUCACUCAGUGGCUGGUUUGAAUACGUGAAUAACAGGAUGUAUUCGAAGGAUUCAGUGACAAGCCACACUUGAAUGCUUUUCAUGCUUUCCCUUCAUUGCUGACUACUAACCUUUACAAAGUACUGGUAACUGCUCAUCAGGGGACCAAGGCCCCAAGGGGCGUGGCCUGAGCCAACGGGCUCAGUUGCCCCGGAAGCUUGUGGCUCUGUGUUUAUUGAGAAACUACUGUGUGUAUGAGCCAGGAAAGCUGCUCACAUGCCUCACCGUCUAGCAGGAGGCAAACUUGUAACAACGAAAUCCUGUGGUCCUGCCUCAGGAAAGGCAAGGAGGGAGAUUGGAUGUGGGAGGUUUCCAGGCAACUGGGGUCCACCUGCUGGCGGGCUCUGUAGGGGGCCUUGGCUGCACCCCAUGCAGUGAUGAGAAGCAUGGGGGGUGACGAGAAGCAAGAAAUUGCACAGAGCAGCAUGCGUGGAUCAUGAACACGGUGCUCAGGCAAAACAAUUGGAAAGAUAAACAUUUACAUGUGUGCAUGCAAACACAUACAUGGAAUGUAUAUUUGCACAAAUGUGUAUACAAAGCACAUCUCUGCAUUUAUACACAAACUCGGACCUUUCGCCAAAAAAUUGCAUGCAGAAUUCAUGUUUUGCAGAGAUUCAGACAAGCAAAGC
Long non-coding RNA from Myotis davidii, 1517 nucleotides. RefSeq lists it as uncharacterized. NCBI's taxonomy places the organism in Eukaryota, Metazoa, Chordata, Mammalia, Chiroptera, Vespertilionidae. The record is from RefSeq and is a predicted model, not a curated record. The transcript has 3 exons.